UGGGGAAUAUUGCACAAUGGGCGGAAGCCUGAUGCAGCGACGCCGCGUGGGGGAUGAAGGCCUUCGGGUUGUAAACUCCUUUCGACAGGGACGAAGCUUUUGUGACGGUACCUGUAUAAGAAGCACCGGCUAACUACGUGCCAGCAGCCGCGGUAAUACGUAGGGUGCGAGCGUUGUCCGGAAUUACUGGGCGUAAAGAGCUCGUAGGUGGUUUGUCGCGUCGUCUGUGAAAUUCCGGGGCUUAACUCCGGGCAUGCAGGCGAUACGGGCUGACUUGAGUGCUGUAGGGGAGACUGGAAUUCCUGGUGUAGCGUUGAAAUGCGCAGAUAUGAGGGGGACCACCGAUGGCGAAGGCAGGUCUCUGGGCAGUAACUGACGCUGAGGAGCGAAAGCAUGGGUAGCGAACAGG
RNAcentral lists this ribosomal RNA (409 nucleotides) under Actinomycetes bacterium. Its description in RNAcentral is "Actinobacteria bacterium partial 16S ribosomal RNA". It matches the Rfam family "Bacterial small subunit ribosomal RNA", at positions 355 to 776 of the family's 1533-position model. The record is from RNAcentral. Lineage: Bacteria; Bacillati; Actinomycetota; Actinomycetes.